CGUGCGCUGCUUACCUGCAAGUCGAACGGAGAUUCAGCAAUGGAUCUUAGUGGCGAACGGGUGAGUAACGCGUAGGCAAUCUGCCUUCUAGAUGGGGACAACAUCCCGAAAGGGGUGCUAAUACCGAAUGUUGUACCGUUUCCGCAUGGAGAUGAUACUAAAGGUGGCCUCUGAAUAUGCUACCGCUAGAAGAUGAGCCUGCGUCUGAUUAGCUAGUUGGAGGGGUAACGGCCCACCAAGGCUUCGAUCAGUAGCCGGUCUGAGAGGAUGAACGGCCACACUGGGACUGAGACACGGCCCAGACUCCUACGGGAGGCAGCAGUGGGGAAUCUUCCGCAAUGGACGAAAGUCUGACGGAGCAACGCCGCGUGAGUGAAGAAGGUUUUCGGAUCGUAAAGCUCUUUCGUUAGGGACGAACGUGCUCUUUGUGAAUAAUGAGGAGUAAUGACGGUACCUAAAUAAGAAGCCACGGCUAACUACGUGCCAGCAGCCGCGGUAAUACGUAGGUGGCAAGCGUUGUCCGGAAUUAUUGGGCGUAAAGCGCGCGCAGGCGGGAUAUCAAGUCUGUCUUAAAAGUGCGAGGCUCAACCUCGUGAGGGGACGGAAACUGGUAUUCUUGAGUGUCGGAGAGGAAAGUGGAAUUCCAAGUGUAGCGGUGAAAUGCGUAGAGAUUUGGAAGAACACCAGUGGCGAAGGCGACUUUCUGGACGAUGUCUGACGCUGAGGCGCGAAAGCUAGGGGAGCGAACGGGAUUAGAUACCCCGGUAGUCCUAGCCGUAAACGAUGGGUACUAGGUGUAGGGGGUAUCGACCCCUCCUGU
Molecule: ribosomal RNA, 820 nt
Filed under: uncultured Anaerovibrio sp.
Lineage: Bacteria; Bacillati; Bacillota; Negativicutes; Selenomonadales; Selenomonadaceae
Description: bacterial SSU rRNA
Rfam family: Bacterial small subunit ribosomal RNA
Source: RNAcentral